AUGGCUGUCGUCAGGCUCGUGUCGUGAGAUGUUGGGUUAAGUCCCGCAACGAGCGCAACCCCUGUCCUAUGUUGCCAGCAUUGAGUUGGGACUCAUAGGAGACUGCCGGCGUCAAGCCGGAGGAAGGUGGGAUGACGUCAAGUCAUCAUGCCCCUUAUGUCCUGGGCUGCACACGUGCUACAAUGGCCGGCACAAUGGGCAGCGACAUAGCGAUAUGAAGCCAAUCCCUAGAAAGCCGGUCUCAGUCCGGAUUGGAGUCUGCAACUCGACUCCAUGAAGUUGGAAUCGCUAGUAAUCGCGGAUCAGCAUGCCGCGGUGAAUACCGUUCCCGGGCCUU
RNAcentral lists this ribosomal RNA (337 nucleotides) under uncultured Desulfofustis sp. RNAcentral's name for it is "bacterial SSU rRNA". It matches the Rfam family "Bacterial small subunit ribosomal RNA", at positions 1045 to 1382 of the family's 1533-position model. The record is from RNAcentral. Lineage: Bacteria; Pseudomonadati; Thermodesulfobacteriota; Desulfobulbia; Desulfobulbales; Desulfocapsaceae.